This 443-nucleotide ribosomal RNA is filed under the name uncultured bacterium. RNAcentral describes it as "partial 16S ribosomal RNA". It matches the Rfam family "Bacterial small subunit ribosomal RNA", at positions 338 to 795 of the family's 1533-position model. The record is from RNAcentral.
CCUACGGGAGGCAGCAGUGGGGAAUAUUGGGCAAUGGGCGCAAGCCUGACCCAGCAACGCCGCGUGAAGGAAGACGGCUUUCGGGUUGUAAACUUCUUUUCUCAGGGACGAAGAAAGUGACGGUACCUUCGGACUAAGCCACGGCUAACUCCGUGCCAGCAGCCGCGGUAAUACGUAGGUGGCAAUCGUUAUCCUGAUUUACUGGGUGUAAAGGGCGUGUAGGCGGGACUGCAAGUCAGAUGGGAAACCCAAGGGCUCAACCUGUGGCCUGCAUUGGAAACUGUAGUUCUUGAGUACUGGAGAGGCAGACGGAAUUCCUAGUGUAGCGGUGAAAUGCGUAGAUAUUAGGAGGAACACCAGGGGCGAAGGCGGUCUGCUGGACAGCAACUGACGCUGAGGCGCGAAAGCGUGGGGAGCAAACAGGAUUAGAUACCCCGGUAGUC